AGUUUUCGGAUUGCGGCGACGCCGGCGGUUCGCCGCCGGUGACGUUGUGAGAAGUUCAUUAAACCUUAUCAUUUAGAGGAAGGAGAAGUCGUAACAAGGUUUCCGUAGGUGAACCUGCGGAAGGAUCAUUG
Molecule: ribosomal RNA, 131 nt
Filed under: Plagiothecium undulatum
Lineage: Eukaryota; Viridiplantae; Streptophyta; Bryopsida; Hypnales; Plagiotheciaceae
Also listed under: 12 other names
Description: Buckiella undulata partial 18S ribosomal RNA
Rfam family: Eukaryotic small subunit ribosomal RNA
Source: RNAcentral